GACGAACGCUGGCGGCGUGCCUAAUACAUGCAAGUAGAACGCACAGUUUAUACCGUAGCUUGCUACACCAUAAACUGUGAGUUGCGAACGGGUGAGUAACGCGUAGGUAACCUGCCUGGUAGCGGGGGAUAACUAUUGGAAACGAUAGCUAAUACCGCAUAAUAUUGAUUAUUGCAUGAUAAUUGAUUGAAAGAUGCUAUUGCAUCACUACCAGAUGGACCUGCGUUGUAUUAGCUAGUAGGUGAGGUAACGGCUCACCUAGGCGACGAUACAUAGCCGACCUGAGAGGGUGAUCGGCCACGCUGGGACUGGGACACGGCCCAGACUCCUACGGGAGGCAGCCGUAGGGGAUCUUCGGCAAUGGACGAAAGUCUGAACGAGCAACGCCGCGUGAGUGAAGAAGGUUUUCGGAUCGUAAAGCUCUGUUGUAAGAGAAGAAAGGGUGUGAGAGUGGAAAGUUCACACUGUGACGGUAUCUUACCAGAAAGGGACGGCUAACUACGUG
Molecule: ribosomal RNA, 505 nt
Filed under: uncultured bacterium
Lineage: Bacteria
Description: partial 16S ribosomal RNA
Rfam family: Bacterial small subunit ribosomal RNA
Source: RNAcentral